AUUGCCUCAGUACGGCGAGUGAAGCGGCAAAAGCUCAAAUUUGAAAUCUAGCACUUUCAGUGUUCGAGUUGUAAUUUGAAGAAGGUAACUUUGGUUUUGGCUCUUGUCUAUGUUCCUUGGAACAGGACGUCACAGAGGGUGAGAAUCCCGUGCGAUGAGAUGCCCAAUUCCAUGUAAAGUGCUUUCGAAGAGUCGAGUUGUUUGGGAAUGCAGCUCUAAGUGGGUGGUAAAUUCCAUCUAAAGCUAAAUAUUGGCGAGAGACCGAUAGCGAACAAGUACAGUGAUGGAAAGAUGAAAAGAACUUUGAAAAGAGAGUGAAAAAGUACGUGAAAUUGUUGAAAGGGAAGGGCUUGAGAUCAGACUUGGUAUUUUGCGUUCCCUUCCUUUUUGGUUGGGUUCCUCGCAGUUUACUGGGCCAGCAUCGGUUUGGAUGGUAGGAUAAUGACAUUGGAAUGUAGCUUUACUUCGGUGAAGUGUUAUAGACUUUGUUGAUACUGCCUAUCUAGACCGAGGACUGCGUCUUUGACUAGGAUGCUGGCGUAAUGAUCUUAAGCCGCCCGUAU
RNAcentral lists this ribosomal RNA (563 nucleotides) under Dujonia zeylanoides. RNAcentral describes it as "[Candida] zeylanoides partial large subunit ribosomal RNA". It matches the Rfam family "Eukaryotic large subunit ribosomal RNA", at positions 74 to 654 of the family's 3401-position model. The record is from RNAcentral. Lineage: Eukaryota; Fungi; Ascomycota; Pichiomycetes; Serinales; Debaryomycetaceae.